GGUUAAGCGACUAAGCGUACACGGUGGAUGCCCAGGCAGUCAGAGGCGAUGAAGGACGUGCUAAUCUGCGUAAAGCGACGGUAAGGUGAUAUGAACCGCUACAGCCGUCGAUGUCCGAAUGGGGAAACCCGGUGCACUCUGUGCAUCAUUGCAGCAUGAAUACAUAGUGCUGCAAGGCGAACCGGGGGAACUGAAACAUCUAAGUACCCCGAGGAAAAGAAAUCAACCGAGAUUCCCCCAGUAGCGGCGAGCGAACGGGGAGCAGCCCAGAGCCUGAAUCAGUUUGUGUGUUAGUGGAAGCGUCUGGAAAGUCGCAGGGUACAGGGUGAUACUCCCGUACACAAAAACACACAUGCUGUGAGCUCGAUGAGUAAGGCGGGACACGUGGUAUCCUGUCUGAAUAUGGGGGGACCAUCCUCCAAGGCUAAAUACUCCUGACUGACCGAUAGUGAACCAGUACCGUGAGGGAAAGGCGAAAAGAACCCCGGCGAGGGGAGUGAAACAGAACCUGAAACCGUGUACGUACAAGCAGUGGGAGCCUUCUUUAUGGGGGUGACUGCGUACCUUUUGUAUAAUGGGUCAGCGACUUAUAUUCUGUAGCAAGGUUAACCGUAUAGGGGAGCCGCAGGGAAACCGAGUCUUAACUGGGCGUUAAGUUGCAGGGUAUAGACCCGAAACCCGGUGAUCUAGCCAUGGGCAGGUUGAAGGUUGGGUAACACUAACUGGAGGACCGAACCGACUAAUGUUGAAAAAUUAGCGGAUGACCUGUGGCUGGGGGUGAAAGGCCAAUCAAACCGGGAGAUAGCUGGUUCUCCCCGAAAGCUAUUUAGGUAGCGCCUCGUGAACUCAUCUUCGGGGGUAGAGCACUGUUUCGGCUAGGGGGCCAUCCCGGCUUACCAACCCGAUGCAAACUGCGAAUACCGAAGAAUGUUAUCACGGGAGACACACGGCGGGUGCUAACGUCCGUCGUGAAGAGGGAAACAACCCAGACCGCCAGCUAAGGUCCCAAAGUCAUGGUUAAGUGGGAAACGAUGUGGGAAGGCACAGACAGCCAGGAUGUUGGCUUAGAAGCAGCCAUCAUUUAAAGAAAGCGUAAUAGCUCACUGGUCGAGUCGGCCUGCGCGGAAGAUGUAACGGGGCUAAACCAUGCACCGAAGCUGCGGCAGCGACGCUUAUGCGUUGUUGGGUAGGGGAGCGUUCUGUAAGCCGUCGAAGGUGUGCUGUGAGGCAUGCUGGAGGUAUCAGAAGUGCGAAUGCUGACAUAAGUAACGAUAAAGCGGGUGAAAAGCCCGCUCGCCGGAAGACCAAGGGUUCCUGUUCAACGUUAAUCGGAGCAGGGUGAGUCGACCCCUAAGGCGAGGCCGAAAGGCGUAGUCGAUGGGAAACAGGUUAAUAUUCCUGUACUCGGUGUUACUGCGAAGGGGGGACGGAGAAGGCUAUAUCAGCCGGGCGACGGUUGUCCCGGUUUAAGCGUGUAGGCGGAGUGUCCAGGUAAAUCCGGACGCUUGUUAACGCUGAGGCGUGACGACGAGGCACUACGGUGCUGAAGUGAUAAAUGCCCAGCUUCCAGGAAAAGCCUCUAAGCAUCAGGUAACACAGAAUCGUACCCCAAACCGACACAGGUGGUCAGGUAGAGAAUACCAAGGCGCUUGAGAGAACUCGGGUGAAGGAACUAGGCAAAAUGGUGCCGUAACUUCGGGAGAAGGCACGCUGGCGCGUAGGUGGAGGGACU
RNAcentral lists this ribosomal RNA (1732 nucleotides) under Pantoea agglomerans. RNAcentral describes it as "partial 23S ribosomal RNA". It matches the Rfam family "Bacterial large subunit ribosomal RNA", at positions 1 to 1767 of the family's 2925-position model. The record is from RNAcentral. Lineage: Bacteria; Pseudomonadati; Pseudomonadota; Gammaproteobacteria; Enterobacterales; Erwiniaceae.